Molecule: long non-coding RNA, 710 nt
Organism: Vidua macroura (Pin-tailed whydah)
Lineage: Eukaryota; Metazoa; Chordata; Aves; Passeriformes; Viduidae
Exons: 2
Source: RefSeq, a predicted model, not a curated record
CCCUGAGGCGCUGAGGGAGCGCCGGGCGCGGCCCCGGGUAGCCCAAUAACGAGAGCAAAAAGGAAGCGAGUGACGCGUGUUAGGAAGAAAAAGCACCAGCAGGGGUUUCUUCCUCAUUAAUAACAUUUAAAACCACGCUGUUUCCUUGAGGGAGGACCCCUCGGCUUUUCGGAUUUUUUUUUUUUCCAGUACGAUUCCACACCCUUCAGCGCAGAAGACCCCGGCUGCUUUUGUACCAUUUGAACCCUGACACAGCAGCCUGAAGACAAACCUGACUGCUCUGAGUUUCCUGUGCUCCCACCAUGGUUAAAUGCUUCUCUUCAGCUGAAAACUGUAAUUUAUUGCUCACAUGCCCAUGCAGUAAUUUCAUAAAUUCACAUGCAUAAGCUGAAGUGACUUAGGAACCAUGUACAUGGAGGUGAAGCAAUUAACAGUCCUGCAGGAGAUAUCCCUUUCACUCCACACUUUCUAAACACAAGAAGGAAUACCAUAUUGAAGGUACUUGACAGGGCAGAAUAUCUAAUUGAGAUUUCUGCUUUGGACUGUUUGAUUAUGCUGAUGAACUGAAAUUAUAUAUAAUUAAAGGGAAAAAAUAGUAGAAAUUCUACUCUCUGAUAUCAUCUGAGGAAAUAAAUUGUAUUGCUCAGGCUUGCAGUGGUUAUGUCUUUAGGAAUAGCUAAUAAAAAUGGCAAAUUUCUGUAGCAAUGGUG